AAGCGGUGGAGCAUGUGGUUAAUUCGACGCAACGCGAAGAACCUUACCAGGCUUGACAUCCCCUGACCGCGUAUGAAAGUACGUUUUCAUCUCGGGUGACAGGGAGACGAGGUGGUGCAUGGUUGUCGUCAGCUCGUGUCGUGAGAUGUUGGGUUAAGUCCCGCAACGAGCGCAACCCCUACGUUUAGUUGCUAACGCGUGAAGGCGAGCACUCUAGACGAACUGCCGUUGACAAAACGGAGGAAGGUGGGAUGACGUCAAAUCAUCAUGCCCCUUAUGUUCUGGGCUACACACGUGCUACAAUGGCCGGUACAGACGGACGCAAAGCCGCGAGGCGGAGCAAAUCCGAAAAAAGCCGGUCUCAGUUCGGAUUGCAGGCUGCAAUUCGCCUGCAUGAAGUCGGAAUCGCUAGUAAUCGCAGGUCAGCAUACUGCGGUCGAAUACGUUCCCGGGCCUU
This 457-nucleotide ribosomal RNA is filed under the name uncultured Pelotomaculum sp. RNAcentral describes it as "bacterial SSU rRNA". It matches the Rfam family "Bacterial small subunit ribosomal RNA", at positions 927 to 1382 of the family's 1533-position model. The record is from RNAcentral. Lineage: Bacteria; Bacillati; Bacillota; Clostridia; Eubacteriales; Desulfotomaculaceae.